Molecule: ribosomal RNA, 281 nt
Filed under: Aglaostigma occipitosum
Lineage: Eukaryota; Metazoa; Arthropoda; Insecta; Hymenoptera; Tenthredinidae
Description: partial 12S ribosomal RNA
Source: RNAcentral
AAAAUUGGCGGUAUUUAAAUCUAGUUAGGGGAAUUUGUCUAUUAAAUGAUACUCCGCAAGAUACCUUACUUUAUUUAUUAAUUUAUUUAUUGCCGUUAACAGAUUAUUUUUAAAGAAAAAAAAUUUUCUUAAAUAUUUAAAUAUAAUAUAUAUUUCAGGUCUUUAUGUAGUUUAUAGUAAAGUUUAGAUGAGUUACAAUAAAAUUUAUUUAUAUGGAUUUUAAGAUGAAAAUUUUUUUUGAAAGUGGACUUAAUAGUAAUUAUUAAUUAUAUAUUAUAAUU